AUUGAACGCUGGCGGCAGGCCUAACACAUGCAAGUCGAACGGUAGCACAGAGAGCUUGCUCUCGGGUGACGAGUGGCGGACGGGUGAGUAAUGUCUGGGAAACUGCCUGAUGGAGGGGGAUAACUACUGGAAACGGUAGCUAAUACCGCAUAAUGUCGCAAGACCAAAGAGGGGGACCUUCGGGCCUCUUGCCAUCGGAUGUGCCCAGAUGGGAUUAGCUUGUUGGUGAGGUAAAGGCUCACCAAGGCGACGAUCCCUAGCUGGUCUGAGAGGAUGACCAGCCACACUGGAACUGAGACACGGUCCAGACUCCUACGGGAGGCAGCAGAGGGGAAUAUUGCACAAUGGGCGCAAGCCUGAUGCAGCCAUGCCGCGUGUGUGAAGAAGGCCUUCGGGUUGUAAAGCACUUUCAGCGGGGAGGAAGGCGGUGAGUUUAAUAAGCUCACCGAUUGACGUUACCCGCAGAAGAAGCGCCGGCUAACUCCGUGCCAGCAGCCGCAGUAA
RNAcentral lists this ribosomal RNA (504 nucleotides) under uncultured bacterium. RNAcentral describes it as "partial 16S ribosomal RNA". It matches the Rfam family "Bacterial small subunit ribosomal RNA", at positions 30 to 523 of the family's 1533-position model. The record is from RNAcentral.